Molecule: ribosomal RNA, 254 nt
Filed under: uncultured bacterium
Lineage: Bacteria
Description: partial 16S ribosomal RNA
Rfam family: Bacterial small subunit ribosomal RNA
Source: RNAcentral
UACGUAGGGCGCAAGCGUUGUUCGGAGUUACUGGGCGUAAAGGGCGCGUAGGCGGUCGUGACAAGUCACUUGUGAAAUCUCCGGGCUUAACUCGGAACGGUCAAGUGAUACUGUCGGACUAGAGUACAGAAGGGGCAACUGGAAUUCUCGGUGUAGCGGUGAAAUGCGUAGAUAUCGAGAGGAACACCUGCGGCGAAGGCGGGUUGCUGGGCUGAUACUGACGCUGAGGCGCGAAAGCCAGGGGAGCGAACGGG